Molecule: long non-coding RNA, 637 nt
Filed under: Nicotiana benthamiana
Lineage: Eukaryota; Viridiplantae; Streptophyta; Magnoliopsida; Solanales; Solanaceae
Description: long non-coding RNA (NBEN_LNC016657)
Source: RNAcentral
AGACAUCUUUACAAAGCCUUUAGAGAAAGAGUCCCUCUUCCGAAUUCGCAGUGAACUCGGAAUCCUUGACUCCACGUUGAUCUAAGUCAUGCAGUGCAUUUUUUUUCUUGAUUUCUAACUUGAGCGUCGGAGACGUCUAAUUCUUUUUUGCAGGUAUCGCCCUAAAAGUACGGGGAAUUAUAAAGCAUGACGCGCAAGAAUCGAGUCUUCUUCAGAAAAAUCUGUUUCCCUCAUCUAUUAAUCGAUUAUCUCGUAUCAAUAACUGAUUGUAAUGCUAUCAUUUGAGCUAUUAUACUCUCUUUAAAUAAUCACACCUUCUUUCCAAUAAAUAAACAAGGUUUAUUUCAUCUUUGGCACCUUAUUAUUAUUUUUGCUAAUGGAAAAAGAGGGAAGAUAACGGGUAUGAUGCACUCUCAAGUUAUAAGAUUAAAUUGAGGGGGAAUUCUCAAAUUGAGGGGGAACAAAUUGCAUACUUGUUGCAUGUAUAUACUUGUCUUGAAUCGUCAAUAUAAACUGCUUGUCUUGCAUAUCCCGCUUAAUGUUUGCCAUUAUCGAAAAGGGGGAAAUUGUUGGAAACACGUUCUCAAUGCAAUAUACUAAAACGUGUGUUCUUUUGUAUAGGUUUUGAUGAAUGACN